GGUCAAAGAUUCCCAAGUCAAACUAAUAGACCUGAUAACCGGAAACUACCACUUAUAUACCUGAUUCAGGGUGAAAUAUCUCGCUUAAUAUAAGCUAAAUUUGUCCCUUUCGGAUCGCCAUAUGUAGCAUGGGACCCUUGUAUAACAAGGAAUGAUUGAUGCUCCUCGUGCGAUGGUGUGGUCAAAGAGAAUUUAUUCAAACUCGCGCGCUCUUUUAUCCUUACAUACCAUGUGACUUUCUUAGCCAACCAGCUUACUAACUCUGGGGCAUGCUCCUUGGGCUCUGUACCUGGGCACAUCCUCUGUGCCACCUUUGACCCGCCCCCUACAGUGGAUAGUGUGUCUUCAGGCCUCCUGGCUGGAGGCCAGAGCAGACCAGUUAUGUUGAUCAGUGUGCCAGAGCUGAAGUGUUGUUUUAAAGAGUCCUUAUAUAUUCUCUUAAAAACCCCUCCCAUGCAACAGCUGGUGGCAAUAUUCAUUGUAAAGCAUGAUCUUGGGGAGGCAGCUGGUCCUUCAUCCUUGGGACAUGCCCUGCCCAUUGCAGCUGUGUUCUCAGCAAAAUAGCCUCACUACUUGUGACUGCUGCUUGUUUCCUACCAGAUGUAUUGCUUGCAUAAUUUGACUAGUGGAUGUUUAGGAUUGUACGAAGACAACACAAGUUAAGUGCCUUGUUAAUCGGUUGUUCUAAUGGCACAUUUGCAAGACCUUUUGUUCGUGUUACUGUAGUUUUCAUACCUUAUCCACCACUGAUAAUUUCUAAAAGAGACACAAAUAGCCCACCUUAUACUUUUUGUGAGUUAUGUUCCCCAAGCAGAGUUUCGUGAGUGUCGAAAUGAGAAAUUUGGUUCUACUGAUGCACCACAAGUUUUUUGAUCACUGCUGAUUUCUGCCCAGCAUCCACACCUAACCUGUACUCUUUGUGAUAAUCAAAGCUUGCUGUUAAUUGUCCAAACAAACAAACUUCUGUAGUCAUGCCAGGGGUUUGGGUUGUGAGACCAGGAGGUACUGCUCAGAGUUUUCUGUGUGACUUAAGCAAUGGCUCCUACCUAGAGAACAGCUGUUGGCCCUGCAACAGCUUGUUAAAGAGCAGCUUGAUUACAUUGAACCAUCUCAGAAUCCUUUAAUUACCCCGUCUUUGUGCUGAAGAAAAAAUCUGUGAAAUGACGACUGUUGUAUGGUCUCAGACGAGUUGGUGCAGUCAUGGUUACCAUGUAAGCAUUGGUUUAUUGACCCCUUCUGUGCUGAAUAACCCAUUGUUAUUAUUAAUUUGACAAGUUGUUUUUUUCACAAUCCAGUUAGACCCCAGUAAUAGAGAAAAAUUUGCAUUUUCAGUUCCAUCUAUUAUUCGUGCAGAACCUUUCGAGCGUUAUCCACAGAAAACCCUCUCCCAUGGAAUGAAGAGCUUUUCUAUAAUUUGUCAGUCAUUUAUGAUUCCAACAUUAUUUUCUGUACUAAUGCAAUUUUCUGACUGUCUUUUGUUGUCAUUAUAUAAAUGAUAUUUCUGCUGGCUGUAGCCACUGAGGAUCAGCUGGGUGUGUUGGACACUGAAACCAGAAAGAGUCUACAAUUCUUUGGCCUAGUAGUUGCUCCUGACAUGGUGCAGUGAGAGGUACCCUGGAAAUAUUUAGGGUUCACGUACACAAAAAGCAGUCAUUCCUCAACCAGUUCAAUUGGGUCUUAUUUUUCAAGCGUUGUUUGUACUCUAAAGAACUCCUUUGCAGAGGCUUGUUCCAGCAGGUUUGCUAUGCUUCGAUCCAGCGCAGCUUCAUGGUUUUUCACCUCUUUUAGAGUUUUGGAAAAAACACGCUGUGCUUUGCCAAAAGCCUCCUCCAAACUGAUGAUCUUGUGGUCCCCGUGGGAGCUGAGGACAGAGCACAUGUAAGGGGGGUACUUUUGGAUUAGAUGAUCAAUGGAGCAUAGAGGCGUGAGAAAGGAAUCAUAUUAGGAUGUGAAACCAGCCAGAGUAUGGUACAAUGUAACUUCAUGGCACAAGCGAAUUGUAAGGUCCAUUGUGCUUUUCAGCAAGUCAGCUUGAUAUCCCCUAUUAUCAGAGCUGAGUUCUUCCUUGGUUUUGCUACAUAUUGCAAGAUAGAUACAUCUACCCUUGAAACACAAUGGUAGAGGUCAUACAUAGGGGUGAGAAAGAUGAUGAUGGGAGGAAGAUUCUGUGGGCAGGGGUCGCUGGCCCCUUGCCCUACAGCAGGGCAUGCGCAGACUGUUGCCAUGAGGUAAUGAUCAGGUGGUGUUUGGCUGCCACUCAGGCAUCACCUUAUACUGGGUACUGGCCCUACGUGGUGCAAUGUAGAGCUGAUAAAAUGGGGUGUCAGGACUGCUGGGGUGAGCGAUCCUCAUCCUGCCAUGGAGACUGUGUUGUUCUACCUGGACGCCCGCUAAGCACGGGCACCGACCAGCUGCUGCAGAUCCUGGCAGCCCUGGCCUGUCUGUGUGGGUAAGCACAGUUUAUUGACAGGAAGCAACUGAGAGAACAAACUUUUUAAUAUCCUUUUAGUGUUCCUUUAAUUCCCCUUUUAUGUUUAUGGUAUUUUUCCUUUAGUUUCCCUCUUUACUAACCAAUAUCGUGUUAUCCAUAAUAUUGUGUUAAGAUCCUUUUUUGGUAUCCCUUUUCACUAGUUAAUACUGUAUUAAAUGCUGUUCGUAGUAUUUGUUUUAAUGCCACCCGAUAAGGUAGUUAUUUUGUAUCCUUUUUAGUUUUUAAUUCCUCUUGCUAAGUUUAUUACUAUUAUUAUUAUUCUCACUGUAAUAAAAGAUAUUUUGUGCGUUUGAAUAUUU
Long non-coding RNA from Pseudopipra pipra, 2790 nucleotides. RefSeq lists it as uncharacterized. The transcript is spliced from 2 exons. The record is from RefSeq and is a predicted model, not a curated record. NCBI's taxonomy places the organism in Eukaryota, Metazoa, Chordata, Aves, Passeriformes, Pipridae.